Molecule: long non-coding RNA, 724 nt
Filed under: Phoenix dactylifera (date palm)
Lineage: Eukaryota; Viridiplantae; Streptophyta; Magnoliopsida; Arecales; Arecaceae
Description: long non-coding RNA (PDAC_LNC002446)
Source: RNAcentral
CCGUCGACAACUGCGGCCACGGCGGCGAUCAAGCGCGGCGCUGGAUCCACAGGCGGAGACCCUCGGUAAGUUCCUUCCCCCUUCCUCUUCCUCUUCUUCGUUUCUUUUAUUUUGUUAUCAUGGGGUAAAAAGAAACGGGGUUAGGGUUUACCUUGCUCGGGAAAGAACCAGUUGUGGGUUCUGAAAACCCUAGCCGAUGAGCAAGAAGAAGGGGGGCGUCGACGGGGUGAUGUAGACGUGAUGAUCUUGUCUCGGGUGAGAGUUGGAUCGGCCGAUCGGGGGGCGUGAUGUAGCCGUGGUCACCGUCGACGGGGAGGCACAAAUGGUCGGCAAGGAGGAGCCGGAGAGGAGAGGGCGGAGGUCGAGGAGAGGAGAGGAGAGGGGAGACAAGAAAGGGGAAGCGGCGAUGCCAGAAGCCCUGGACGAAGCCAAUGUUUUAAGUUCGACCGGGCUGAUGGGGAAGUGCUUCGACCGGGCUGAUGGGGAAGUAAUGAGGUAAGUCGGUCUGCAAGCCAAAUUUCAUAUCAAACUAUUUUUUAUCUAUAAGGCCGAUUGCACCGAACUUGAUGUCUCCCAGCUCCCCACUCACGAGGACAAAAAAAAAUCUCAGACCUUCUUCCGAAAUCCAAUCCCAUUGCAGGAAAGCAGCAGUAGGGGUGCAAAUAGGUCAUGACCGGCACCAUGAGAUUUGAAAAUGAGAAGAAGAAAUUUGAGUUUUCUGGAG